Molecule: non-coding RNA, 4590 nt
Organism: Podarcis lilfordi (Lilford's wall lizard)
Lineage: Eukaryota; Metazoa; Chordata; Lepidosauria; Squamata; Lacertidae
Source: the annotation of a GenBank genome assembly
AUGAAUCUUGGAUGAAAUAUAACAGACCUUAUUCUGGAGGGCACAAAUCAGACUAUUUCUGGUAUAUCAGUCUAUUUCAGGGAACCUGCCAGCAUCACCCAAAGUUAGGAACGUUGUGAGCUGCCAUAUGAGAUGGGUAAACAGAACUGCUAUCCAUGAGGCUCAAGGCAGCCCUCAAAUGACCAGAGCAAUUGCUGUUAUAUGACUGGGGGUGGGGGGCAGAUUCAUUCUCUGGGACAUGGACCAGAUUGCACAACUUAAGACACGCGGACCAUGAACACAGAGCUUCUCCUAUGUUGUUGUUGCAUCUUCCAUUUUAGAACUCAAAGGCAGCCAACAAAACCAGGUUUAUUGAUCCUCUGAUGCGUCACCACAUUUUCCUAGUGAGUUUGACAGGCCCAAAACAGACCUGAGAUAUUGUAAUGAUAUUGAAUGCUUUUCAGACAUUUGAUAAACAAAGUGAAGAGGCAACCACGAAUAAAUAUUUAGCAAGCUACAAAAAGAGAAAAGUCACUAAUGCUAUGAGAAUUACCUGUAGAAGAAAUGGAAGAUAUCCAGUUGCUUAAGAAGUCAUUCCUGAAAUGAAGUUGUGCUUUUCUGAACUACUUAUGUGUAUCAUAGAGAGAUCUGAGGCAAAUUACAUGACGUUUUUAAAAAUAUCUCUAAUACCAAAACAACACAAUUAAAGUUUCUCCCAGUGGUGUGUUCUCCAAGAAAGGUAAUUGAUCUCAAAGGUAUUUGUGAAUAUUGUUCCUGUUUGUCAAAUGCUUCUUUUACUCCAAAGUAAUUUUUGUACUUUUCGUACUUCUGCUUUGCAGUUCUAACCACGUGUUUAUGCUCAGCAGCACUGUUGGCAACAGAUGUCCCACCCAUCCAACUUGCAUGCUUUGCCCCUGCCCAAAGGUAAGCAGGAAAUACAUGUGUAUGGCCUUGCUGUGGAGUUACUCGGACACCAUAUUUGGGGCCAAGGAGGAAACAGCCUACAGAAUUUGCCUACAGACAAACUGGGCUGGUUUGGAGGUUUUGCUUACCUCACAACAAAUGUGAGGUAAACUUGCUGGUGGAUAAAGACAUUGAGCUGAAUCUUUAAUCUAAACAGAGGGGGUGGAAAUGAGCCCAAUUCCCUUCUUAUCAAUCAAGAAGGUUCACAAACCUGCAGGAACGCCACUUAGCCCCAUUGAAACAAAAUUAAUAUAGCAGAAUUUCCUGUAAUGCCUGUCUCCAUAAUGGAGGUGGAAGUACAGCCUUAAAGUAGGAAGCACAGGAAUAUAAGAUGGUGAUGUACUCAAACCACUGGCUCUUCUAACUCAGUAUUGUCUACACCUACUGGCAGUAGCUCCAUAGGGUUUCAAGCAGGAGUCUCUGAAACCCUCCCUCAAGAUGCUGAGGAUUAAACCUGGGACCUUCUGGAAGCAAAACAGAUGCUCUACCACUGAGCAGUGGCUUAAUAAUAUUCACCCCUGGAAACAGAGCUAGAAUAUAUCCAUGAAAAACGUAAAUCAGUACAACUUAUGCUAGCUUUCCAUGCUUAGGAUUGCUCCCUAAACCACCCUUUUCAGUGGAAACACAUCCCAAUAUCAAUUCCCAGUGAAAUAAUGCCAUAUAACUGAUGAGAUUGUUUAUUUUAUUGGACCAAAAAUGGGCAUAUUCUUGUCCCUGCCCCCAGUUUUAUGCACCAUGAUUCUAUGCAUGUUUAAUUGGAAAUAAGUACCAUUGGAUUCAAUAGUCCUUAUUAUCAAAUAAGUGUGUAUAGGAUUGCAGCCAUACUACCCAGUCCUAGUAUUUUCUGGUAAGUGUGCACAUAAUGUUAUAGUUGUUCAGUGGAAUUCCUGAUCUGCACCUUGUGUAGAAGUAAAUGAGAGUUCAACCCCAAGAAUGUGUUUUAAUGUUUUACUGUGGAACAGUUUUAAAUGCUAGUCAGGUAUAAAAAUUACAUGAACUGAAUAGUAAAGUAGCACAACAGCAAACAAGCAAUGUGGUUCAGUUCUUUAUGUUGUUCAGUAAACUUUCCUCUCUCAAGUCCUAUCUUUGACUUCCGAAGUUUCAUUUCCUGCUGUAAGAGUUGCAGCUCUGAUUUCCAGGAGAUGAGUCAUCAGGUAGUUUAGCUCCUUGAAAUCGAAAAACACCAGCCUUCCGCUUUCACCCAGAGUGGAACCUCUCGUUUAAGGUAAAUGUCUCUUUAUAGCAUUCCAAACACAAUGUGUUCAAACACAACAUUUUAUGUAUAUGAAACUUACAACUUUAACACAGAAGAGGACUGCAGUCUUGCCCUAAAUUCCUAAUGAGUGAAGAGGUCAUAAUGUUUUACGCUCAAGUUGAAGUCACAUUCAUGUUCAUAUUGGAAAAUACAACUCCUACUGGCUUGCACUCUGCUCAGUCCAAUAUGCUCUGAGAUGUCUGGCUUCUAAUCACCCUUCAAUAUGUGUGCAAAUAUUCCUGUCUAAAAUUCAAGGAAACAGUGGUUUUAUUCCUAUCAUCCUAAAGCAAGCAUGUCUGGAAGUUUCACAUCAAAGAAUACUCAAAGAUAUUUGGGUGCAAGUGUAGAUAAUGAACAUUUUGCAAAUGUGAUAUGAAGAAAUAGCUCAGAAAAAUAUCUGAGGGAGGAUAAACGCAGUUUCAUUGGUGCUAAAUAAAUAAAUUUGGUAUUAUUGUGAACUUAUUUUCACUCUUUCUAAAAUCAUUUCAUUCUUCUACCAGUCUUAUCACACAAAAGUGAAAUUUAAGCAAAAAGAUCAAACACUGAAAUGCCACUAAACUAUGUUUUAAUAAUCAUCAUUAGCAUAUUAUUAAUUACUAUCAUUAUAUUAGUCACCUAAUGCAGGAAAGGUAACUUAUAGAAUAAAAAUGCAGAGUUAAAACCAUCAACCAUCAAUUCACUAACAAAAAAAUAACCUCAAUAAUUACAGCAACACCAGCAAUAGUACCUUAGUCAUAUGUGGGCCACAACAAGCCUGUCACAAUUAACCAAAUGCCUGGGGAAAAGAAGAUGGUCCUAACUUUUUGCCAAAAAGGCAUUAAAAUCAGUAGGAGAUUUUUCACUGGGGCCACAACUGAAAAAAGAAAAAAACCCUUCUCUUUCUUUACAUGUGGUAUUGAUGGACAGUCUAUAUGUAUGUAGGGGAGCAGGGUUGUGCUUGCUGCCCUGCCAAUUUCUAUAUGCAUUGCACAAAAGCCUAUUCAUCUACACAUUUUUUAUUUGUUUUAUUUAAUUUACGUAAUUUUGGAACCAUUUGUUAUGAAACAUCUCAAAGUGACGUAACAAUAAAAACAACAAAAGUAAAACUAUAUAUGAAACAAUCAUACAUUAAAACAAGUUCAAAUCCAAUAAAGGUAGAGACUGGAAUUAAAAUCUCCACAGAAAAGGAUUGUUGAUGACAUGUACACUUCCCACCCAAUUUACGAACCAUUAGCAGGGCAUGGAUUUGUACAUAAGGAGGUACACUCUGUCUGUGUGACAUGCUGAACUUGUGCAGAAUGAAGAGGAGGCGACCCUAUGGGUGAGAUCCUGCGACGUCUUUGUGUACGUCGGUGGCACGUAGAUGCACAGUGUGGACUGAAGUGGAUUUAUCCUUUAAGUUCAUAGGUAAACAUUGUGCAAAGCUGUCUGCUGUCGAUUCCACUGUAAAUGGGUUUACAAAAUGGGCAUCAUGUGUCAGAGAAGGUCAGAUGUGGUGCUGAUCAGAUCCAUUCUUCUAUAACAGAAAAUAGAUUUGCUUGUGUUUCUUUCUUCAUUAAUGUAAUAAUAGCCUUCUCUGUGCCACUCUCCUCAGGGCAUCCUUAACCUCCCUGUUUCUCAGGCUAUAGAUAAGGGGAUUGAGCAUGGGAAUGACCACAGUAUAGAAGACUGAAGCCACUUUGUCUGUACCCAGGGAGUAACUAGAUCUAGGUCGGAAAUACAUGAAGAGAACUGUGCCAUGGAAGACUGUGACUAUCGUGAGGUGGGAUGUGCAAGUGGAGAAGGCUUUUUUCUUUCCCUCAGCAGACCUUAUCCUUAGCACAGUAAUCACAAUGAAAACAUAGGAAAUAAUGAUUGUGACAAUGCUGCUCGUUUCUGCAAAGGUACCCAGUACGAAAACACAUAGUUCAUUGAUGUAAGUGUUUGUGGAAGAAAGUUCCAGCAAAGCAGUGAUAUCACAGAAGAAAUGGUUGAUGACGUUGGAGUCACAGGAAGACAAUCUGAGCAAGUAACUGCUGUGUACUGAAGAGGUCAUGAAACCCAUAUGAAUGUUACUGUCAGCAGCUGUAUGCACCUUUUCGGGGACAUGAUAACUGCAUAGAGCAAGGGGUUGCAGACGGUGACGUAACGGUCAUAUGCCAUCACAGCAAGCAGGAGGCACUCUGAGGUUGCCAAAAAGAUGAAAGCGUAGUAUUGAAGAACGCAACUUACAUAGGUAAUGGUGGCUUUUCUUACUAAGAGGUCCGCCAACAGCUUUGGAGUGAUAACUGUUGAAUAAAAGCUGUCAACGAUGGACAAGCUCUGUAGGAAGGAGUACAUGGGAGUCUGAAGGUGGGCAUCAGCAUGGAUCAAGGCUACCAUCCCGAGAUUCCCCACCAGGGUGACCAGGUAAAUCAUUAGGUACAGCUCGAAUA